UGAGUAUAAUACCUUGAAUUCUUCUCAACAUGACUUUCCAAAUCAAGAGAAGUUAGAAGACCCUCAGUUGUACCAUUAUGCAUUAUUCUCUGAUAAGGUAUUAGCAGCAGCAGUUGUUGUAAACUCAACUAUAACAUAUGCUAAGGAAUCCUGGGAGGACCCUUCGAAGCAUGUUUUCCACAUUGUUACUGAUAGGCCAAAUUAUGCAGCAAUGAGGAUGUGGUUUUUGCUAAAUCCACCAGGCAAAGCUUCUAUCCAGGUUCAGAACAUUGAAGAAUUUACAUGGCUAAAUGCAAGUUAUAGUCCAGUUCUCAAGCAGUUGGGUUCACAGUCCAUGAUAGACUAUAACUUUAGAGCUCAUCAAGCCAAUUCUGAUUCAAAUUUGAAGUACGGAACCCAAAAUACUUAUCUAUCCUCAAUCAUCUUCAAUUUUAUUUGCUAGAGAUCUUCCCAAAGCUCAACAAAGUGUUGUUCUUGGAUGAUGAUAUCAUUGUAAAGAAGGAUCUCACUGCCCUUCGGUCCCUUGAUUCGAAGGGGAAUGUUAAUGGUGCUGUUAAGACUUGUGGAGAGAGCUUCCAUCAUUUUGAUCGAUUGCGCAUCAGCCUAGCAUAUAUGUCCUAGACACUCCAGGUGUAUUGGUUCCAAGUAUCCCUAACAUUGAGACAGGACUGAAGCUAGCUCUUGCAGGAAUCAUCCUCUUGCAAAUAAUUUCUCCUAACUUUUAGUUUAAGAUAUGCUAAACCAUGCUUGACUGUUGUAAAUGGACAAAAAUAAGUGCCACCUCUCUCCAAUCACUAUUAAGAGAAGCCAUAUCCCUACUCAACACCGGAGUUGAUUUGGUUGCAACAAAGUAACUGGAUCAGCUUAAGUAAUGUUGGUUGAGGCCUAAAAGUUUUACGCUUGAAGUUGUGUUGGUUUAAUCCUCUUGUUGACCUCCAACCAACACAAGUUGCCCAAACUACAGCUAGUAAAAUUUUCAACCUUGACGUCUUAAAUUUUAUCAUUAUUUU
Molecule: long non-coding RNA, 1010 nt
Organism: Quercus robur (English oak)
Lineage: Eukaryota; Viridiplantae; Streptophyta; Magnoliopsida; Fagales; Fagaceae
Exons: 3
Source: RefSeq, a predicted model, not a curated record